Molecule: ribosomal RNA, 319 nt
Filed under: Streptococcus suis
Lineage: Bacteria; Bacillati; Bacillota; Bacilli; Lactobacillales; Streptococcaceae
Description: bacterial SSU rRNA
Rfam family: Bacterial small subunit ribosomal RNA
Source: RNAcentral
CAGAAUUUACCGCAUGGUAGAUAUUUGAAAGGAGCAACUGCUUCACUAUGAGAUGGACCUGCGUUGUAUUAGCUAGUUGGUGAGGUAACGGCUCACCAAGGCAUCGAUACAUAGCCGACCUGAGAGGGUGAUCGGCCACACUGGGACUGAGACACGGCCCAGACUCCUACGGGAGGCAGCAGUAGGGAAUCUUCGGCAAUGGGGGCAACCCUGAUCGAGCAACGCCGCGUGAGUGAAGAAGGUUUUCGGAUCGUAAAGCUCUGUUGUAAGAGAAGAACCGUGAGAAGAGUGGAAAGUUUCUCACUUGACGGUAUCUUAC